UGGGGAAUAUUGCACAAUGGGCGCAAGCCUGAUGCAGCCAUGCCGCGUGUGUGAAGAAGGCCUUCGGGUUGUAAAGCACUUUCAGCGAGGAGGAAGGGUUCAGUGUUAAUAGCACUGUUCAUUGACGUUACUCGCAGAAGAAGCACCGGCUAACUCCGUGCCAGCAGCCGCGGUAAUACGGAGGGUGCAAGCGUUAAUCGGAAUUACUGGGCGUAAAGCGCACGCAGGCGGUUUGUUAAGUCAGAUGUGAAAUCCCGCGCUAACGUGG
This 268-nucleotide ribosomal RNA is filed under the name uncultured bacterium. RNAcentral's name for it is "partial 16S ribosomal RNA". It matches the Rfam family "Bacterial small subunit ribosomal RNA", at positions 355 to 617 of the family's 1533-position model. The record is from RNAcentral.